Molecule: transfer RNA, 72 nt
Filed under: Ovis aries (sheep)
Lineage: Eukaryota; Metazoa; Chordata; Mammalia; Artiodactyla; Bovidae
Also listed under: 2 other names
Rfam family: tRNA
About the family: Transfer RNA (tRNA) molecules are approximately 80 nucleotides in length. Their secondary structure includes four short double-helical elements and three loops (D, anti-codon, and T loops).
Source: Rfam by way of RNAcentral
UCCCUGGUGGCUCAGAUGGUAAAGCAUCUGCCUGCAAUGCAGGAGACCCAGGUUCGAUCCCUGGGUCGGGAA